GUAUUUGCAUUCUGCUCCAUAUUUGCAUGUUCCAGUGUUCAUAUAGUACCGGCACUCAGGUUGAUCAGGUCUCUGCGGAAGGUUAGGACUUGAUGGCAAGUGAACCUGCCCAUUGGAAGCCGAUUCCCCCUGACCCCUAGAGUUGUACGUAAGAUUGGAUCCAAGAAUGCUAGUAGAAGACACAGGGCUCAAGUUUCCCUAUUGAAGAAAUAAAAUCAAAAUUAAACCAAAGAAAAACUCAACGCACAAUAACCACUACAGUCCUCAGAAAAAUCAAUAGCUAAUAUUACCAACGAGGUCAAGAAUGAGCGUUUGAUUGAACAUGUCUUCAUGUCAAUGAGAAAGGACAAAUGGACAUACAGAAUGACAUUGAAUCUCCCUUAUGGUUUCAAAAUCUUGAACGCAAAAUUAACAAGAGAAGAUUGAUUAAAUAUAAGCAAGAAGCAGCAAAGCGGACAUGACAUCCAGUCAAGUUAAAAAAACAACCUUGUACUUUCUACUGAUUUAUGAAAAUCACUAGUAAAUGAACACCGAGGAACAUAUAAAAUAUUUUCAGAAAAUGCACUUUCGGCUGAGCUAGAUCAAACAGUUUAAAACUGUCCUCACUGCAAACUGAAUGAAGAAACAACAACGAUUGACAAGCUAAAGCAAAUAUACUUUUUUAAAGAAAAAUAUCUAGCUGUGCACAAUCUAUGAUACUGCUACUUAAACAGACAAGAUAUAGUGAUCUUAACAAAUGCUGGACACUAGUAGGAACAUUCAUACGUAAAGCAAACUGUUGUUCUAUUAAAAAAAAAAAAAACAAUACGCUCACCACAUAUGUAUUCCAGCCAUGGGCAGGUAGAACACCUUGAGGUGGAGAAAGAACAACUGCAGGCAUGUAAGGUUGAGGAGUUGCUAUUCGUGGGCCUGCUACAUAUGGUGCUCUUGGAAACGACCAUGCAGAAAGUCCACCUGUGUAAGGUACACCUGAAGAAGGCACAACUGAUGAGCCUGUAGAUCCAAAAGCAGGUAAGGCAGUAGU
Molecule: long non-coding RNA, 1024 nt
Filed under: Fragaria vesca (wild strawberry)
Lineage: Eukaryota; Viridiplantae; Streptophyta; Magnoliopsida; Rosales; Rosaceae
Description: long non-coding RNA (FVES_LNC003277)
Source: RNAcentral